UGUGUCCUCUCCAUGGAAGCCCCAAAAACUGGGGUGCCAGGUGGGUGCACAAGCUCCUUUCCUGAGGUUCCUGCAGCCAUCCAGAGGAAGAGUGUGAAUAGACACCUGCUAGCAUCCAACAUGUCUGGAGAGCACUGCAUUCAUCCCUUAAGUCCUGUGACGUGUGAAUGUAAAACCUACUGGCCACCAGAUCUAGGCUAACAAGAGAGGGAGACAAGAGAUCCAAAGCAGGCUCUGGACUGACAGCAGAGAGCCUUACGUGGAGCUCAAACUCAUGAACCAUGAAAUCACGACGUAAGCCAAAAUUGGACACAUA
Neofelis nebulosa (Clouded leopard) is the source of this 316-nucleotide long non-coding RNA. RefSeq lists it as uncharacterized. The transcript is spliced from 3 exons. The record is from RefSeq and is a predicted model, not a curated record. NCBI's taxonomy places the organism in Eukaryota, Metazoa, Chordata, Mammalia, Carnivora, Felidae.